AACGAACGCUGGCGGCAGGCCUAACACAUGCAAGUCGAGCGCCCUUUCGGGGGAGCGGCGGACGGGUGAGUAACGCGUGGGAAUAUGCCCUUCUCUACGGAAUAGCCUCGGGAAACUGAGAGUAAUACCGUAUACGCCCUUUGGGGGAAAGAUUUAUCGGGGAAGGAUUAGCCCGCGUUGGAUUAGGUAGUUGGUGGGGUAAUGGCCUACCAAGCCGACGAUCCAUAGCUGGUUUGAGAGGAUGAUCAGCCACACUGGGACUGAGACACGGCCCAGACUCCUACGGGAGGCAGCAGUGGGGAAUCUUAGACAAUGGGGGCAACCCUGAUCUAGCCAUGCCGCGUGAGUGAUGAAGGCCUUAGGGUUGUAAAGCUCUUUCAGCUGGGAAGAUAAUGACGGUACUAGCAGAAGAAGCCCCGGCUAACUCCGUG
This 431-nucleotide ribosomal RNA is filed under the name uncultured bacterium. Its description in RNAcentral is "partial 16S ribosomal RNA". It matches the Rfam family "Bacterial small subunit ribosomal RNA", at positions 29 to 507 of the family's 1533-position model. The record is from RNAcentral.